GUGCAGACCUAGGAUGACAAGCCACCUGCCAGUGCUGGAGACCACUGCUGUGCAUGCUGCCACCUUCUUGUUCAUGUACCUCCCCCUCCCUCAUCCUUCCUGUUUACUUCUUUCACCAAAAUGAAAAUUGGUUGACGACAUAGCAGACGCUUCCUAAACUUCUCAAGAUGCAGAAUCCUGAAGCAAACCAUGCCUCUUGAAUGAAACAUAGACAGGUGAUUCUUGGCCCUGUGGUUCCUUCUGUCUGCGACGUAGUUCCUGUGCUGUUUAGAUGAUUGCUUGCCUCUCAGAUGUCACAGUUGGUGAUAUGUAUGUUUACUGAGCAAUUGCUGUAGCCUCACAUUGCUCUUGACUGGAGAUACUGAAUAUACCAGCAAGCAGCACGAGACUUAUACAGUACUGAAUCCUCAGCUUUGGCGCAUAGGGGGCUGGCUCUUCAAACCUACUGGUUUAGCCCAUGUAACAAAUGACUGAGGUGGAACCCACGGUGAAAAUACAAUGAUCACUCAGUCUAUUUAGUACAAUGACUGAAGCAGGCUGAGGGAAACCACUCAGGUUGUUCUGGUGUGGCCCUGCUGCCUUCUGAGGGAGUGGUGAAUUGGCAAUUACUCUGAUAAAUGUGGCUGCUGGAGACCCAUCUCUGUACAUACAACAAACAUUAAUCAAGAGUCUACAAUGGGCCAGUGCCUACCAAGACCUGAGCCCUUGAGACAGAAAGCUAACAUAACUGUCUUCUGAGAGGCUCCAUCCAGCAGUCAAUGAAAACAGAUACAGAGACCCACACUCAAACAUAGAUGGAGCUCAAGGAAUCUUAAGGAAGAGUUUGAGGAAGGAUUGAGGGACUCGAAGAGGACACAGAUCUCAAAGGAAAACCAACAGAGUCAGCUAACCUGGACACUUGGGGGCUCCCAGAGACUGAAUCACCAAACAAAAGUGAGCAUGGGCUGGGCUAGGCUCCUGCACAUAUGUAGCAGAUGAGCAGCUUGGUCUUCAUGCAGGUCCCCCAACAACUAAAGUGGGGCUGUCCCUGAGCCUGUUGUGUGCCUGUGGAGCACAUACCACUAAAUGGGUAGCCUUGUCUGGCCUCAGUGAGAGAGGAUGUGACUAUUCCAGCAGCUAUUUGAUGUGCAGGGGGUAGGGGUAGGGGUCUUAAGGGGUUAGGUGUUUGACACUGAGAGGGGGUUUCACCUUCUCUUUUGAAAAGGGGAAGGUAGAAUAGGAGGAGGGCUUUCCUAAGGAGUACUGGGAGGAGAGGAAGGGCUGAUAUUGUGUUGUAAAGUGAAUAAAUAACUAAAUUAAAAACAAAUAAAACAAAAUAACAAAAUUGAGGUCUGUGAUCUAUUUGGAUCUAAGUUUUGUACAGAGUGAUAGAGAUUGGUAUUAUUUUAUUCUUCUGUAUGUAGACAUACAGAUUUUCCAGUGCCAUUUGUUAAAGAAGCUAUCUCUUCUCUACUGAGGUUUUUCCUCAUUGUCAAAUAUCAGAUGGCUAUAGUUAUGAGAACUCACAUGUGGGCCUUCUAUUAUUCCAUUGUUCUACAUGUAUGGUUUACACUAGUACCAUAUUGUUUUAUUACUAUGGCUCUAUCUAUGGAACUCUGGGCUAACAAUUCCCCCAGAAUUAUUCUUUUGGUUCAGGAAUGGCUUGCCUCUCUGGGAUCCUUUCUCAUUUCAUAUGAAUUUUAUUCUAUCAAGAAUGUGGGUAUUUUAAUUAGGGGUUCAUUGAAUCUGUACAUUUCUUUUAGUAGCUUGGCUAUUUUCACAACUAAUUCUACUGACCCAUGAGCACAGAAUGGCUUUGUAUUUCCUAAUGCAUUUCUCAAUCCCUUUCUUCAAAUAUUUGUAAUUUGCAUUGUAGAGGUUUUCCACCUCCUCAGUUAGUUUUAUUCCAAGAUAUUUUAUUGUCAUUGAUGCUAUUGAAAAUAAAAGUCCAUCUUCAAUGUGUUUGUUAUUGAUAUAUAGAAAGGCAAAUGAUUCUUACAACAUAGAUGAUAGACAGACAGACAGAUAGAUAGAUAGAUAGAUAGAUAGAUAGAUAGAUAGAUAGAUUUUUUUUUCAAGACAGGGUUUCUCUGUGUAGCCAUGGCUGUCCUGGAACUCACUCUGUAGACCAGGUUGGCCUGGAACUCAGAAAUCUGCCUGCCUCUGCCUCCCAAGUGCUGGGAUAAAAGGUGUAUGCCACCACUGCCUGGCAUUAUAUAAGUAUUAUUACCAGUACUCUGUCAUUUUGCUGAAAUUGUUGUUUCUAGAAGUUUUAUUCUUAAGGACUAUGUAUAAGAAAUUGGGUGGGGGUGUGGUAAGAAAGUAGCUUAGUGAGAGAUCUCUACUCUUUCAUGAGCAAGUCCCAGGGUUCAAACUCAAAAACCAAAAAGGAAAAACAAAUUACUUUGAUUUUCAUCUUUAAAUUUUGGUAUCAAUCUAGUAUAAAUUUGUCUAUCACAAAAAUGGCUUGAAGCAUUCAUUGUCAGUCAAUUGGCUCUGGAAUUGUGUUUUUGUCUUGAGUUAUAUUUCCCACUUACUAUGGAUAUUAAACAUCUCUGUACACUAUUAUUAGCUAGUUGUAUUUUGCAUCUGAUCCCUGCUCAAUCUUCUGAAGUCCACUUUUUAUUUGAGUGUUAAUCUGUUUAUUAUGCAUCUAAAUGAACUUUCUGAAUAUUGUUGAUUCUAGGCAUUUGUCCACCAGUCAUUUUACCGAUGCAUUCUUCUAGUUAGCAAUUUGUUGUUCUGUGUCCUUUAAUGUGAAUUGAUGACUAAAAAUAUCUUUCUUGUCAAAAUUUCUAUAAGUAGUAUACAGAAAAGAUCAAAAAUAAAAAUAUUAAAUAUCCCCACAUGAAAUAUUUAUGCAUAGUUUACUUAGAAAAUGUGAUAACAUAUGUAUCUUUGUGUUUAAUUAGAAUACUCCAUCAAUAUUUUAAAGCUACUACACAAAUAUUAUAAACAUUAAGUACCUUUGUGCAUUUGUAUAGUUAAUGCUAUUCAGUACAUACUCACUUUUGAAACCAGUAAAAAGAGGACUGAAGUUGCAGAAAAUUAAAAAAUUCUAACAAAAAGGGGGUAAAAUUCUUUCUAUACUGAAGUGAGGUGAUAUUAAUAUAAGUACUUAGCAUAUAUUUAGAAUAUUUAUUACCAUAUAUAGUGGGGCCACAUGGCAUAUUUUAAAAUCUAAAACAUGUAAAUUUUGUUAAUUUAUUAAAAUGCAUAGCUACAGAAAGAUUUUGAAUAUAACACAGUUAUUGUUAUUCAUUACAAUUUAUUAUCCCUGAAUC
RNAcentral lists this long non-coding RNA (3263 nucleotides) under Mus caroli (Ryukyu mouse). RNAcentral's name for it is "lncRNA (MGP_CAROLIEiJ_G0006031.1)". Lineage: Eukaryota; Metazoa; Chordata; Mammalia; Rodentia; Muridae. The record is from RNAcentral.